UUAUUUUAUUUUGAAUCAAUUAAGAAUAGGAUUAAUCAUACAUUUAAUUUUAGAGUAUUUAUAAUAAAUGACUAUAGAUUUGAAAAGAAUGUACAAACUAACCUUGAGUCACAGUAUCUUGUCGGAAACAUGUUGGAGAACACUUGUUAUUUUCUCUUAUUACAUAGUAUUUAUAAAAAGCACAUGCUAUUUUUUGGAAAAAACAUUGUAUUCAGUUUAAUAUAUCUUUUUAUCAUGAUAUUUUGUAGUAAUACACGUUUUUUAUUGAGAUCACACGUGAUUUCUUUAAAAAUAUUCUUAUUUUUUAGUAAUACAUGGUUUUUAUUAAAAUCACAUAUAAUUUUUGUUUUAAGAUUCUGUUCAUGUAAAAGAAUUUCAUAAUAAUGUUUUAAAAAA
This 396-nucleotide small RNA is filed under the name Arabidopsis thaliana (thale cress). RNAcentral describes it as "ATSL084160". Lineage: Eukaryota; Viridiplantae; Streptophyta; Magnoliopsida; Brassicales; Brassicaceae. The record is from RNAcentral.